AGAGUUUGAUCAUGGCUCAGGACGAACGCUGGCGGCGUGCUUAAUACAUGCAAGUCGAACGAGGUCCAACUGGUGGCAACACCGGUGAAGACCGAGUGGCGAACGGGUGAGUACCACGUGAGCAACCUGCCCCGAAGACCGGGAUAACACCGGGAAACCGGUGCUAAUACCGGAUGCCCCCAUCGGACCGCAUGAUCCGGUGAGGAAAGGAUUCUGCUUCGGGAGGGGCUCGCGGCCUAUCAGCUUGAUGGCGGGGUAACGGCCCACCAUGGCUACGACGGGUAGCUGGUCUGAGAGGACGAUCAGCCACACUGGGACUGAGACACGGCCCAGACUCCUACGGGAGGCAGCAGUAGGGAAUCUUGCGCAAUGGGCGAAAGCCUGACGCAGCAACGCCGCGUGAGGGACGAAGGCUUUCUGAGUUGUAAACCUCUUUCAGCAGGGACGAUAGUGACGGUACCUGCAGAAGAAGCACCGGCCAACUACGUGCCAGCAGCCGCGGUGAUACGUAGGGUGCGAGCGUUGUCCGGAUUUAUUGGGCGUAAAGAGCUCGUAGGCGGUUCGAUAAGUCGGGUGUGAAAUCUCCAGGCUCAACCUGGAGUCGCCACUCGAUACUGUCGUGACUCGAGUCCGGUAGGGGACCAUGGAAUUCCUGGUGUAGCGGUGAAAUGCGCAGAUAUCAGGAGGAACACCAGUAGCGAAGGCGGUGGUCUGGGCCGGAACUGACGCUGAGGAGCGAAAGCGUGGGGAGCGAACAGGAUUAGAUACCCCAGUAGUCC
RNAcentral lists this ribosomal RNA (779 nucleotides) under uncultured bacterium. RNAcentral describes it as "bacterial SSU rRNA". It matches the Rfam family "Bacterial small subunit ribosomal RNA", at positions 8 to 796 of the family's 1533-position model. The record is from RNAcentral.